This 69-nucleotide transfer RNA is filed under the name Xenurolebias myersi. Its description in RNAcentral is "tRNA-Trp". It matches the Rfam family "tRNA". Rfam says of the family: Transfer RNA (tRNA) molecules are approximately 80 nucleotides in length. Their secondary structure includes four short double-helical elements and three loops (D, anti-codon, and T loops). Lineage: Eukaryota; Metazoa; Chordata; Actinopteri; Cyprinodontiformes; Rivulidae. The record is from RNAcentral.
AGAGACUUAGGCUAACUAAACCAAAAGUUUUCAAAGCUUUAACUGAGGGUGAAAACCCCCCAGCCUCUG